UCGCAAAAAAAAAAAAAAAGGGAGAAAUCCCACUGAAGUCCCACAUGCACAACCAAGGUGCCGGGCGAGGUGUUGGAGUCCCAGCAUCGGGAAGUGGCCGACUCGCGGGCUGGUAAGAAGAAUUUACCAAUGACAGUAUGGGUUUGGAAGAGGAAAGUUUUAUUAGGAAGAAAGAAUGCUGCAGAGGAGGGCAGUGGGUGCCUCUGCCGGAGGACUCGGCACCACUGGGGAUUUUCCUUAGGAGCAUUUCUGGACCUCACGGCGGGAGCUGAAGGGUGAUUCGCACGAUAAAUGCUACAUUUGUAGACAUUCUGGUGCCUUAGUGACGGCAGGGGGUGCACACUGAGUUUCAUCAGCCAUGCAUUCCAGAGAUGUAUAGAAAUUCUAGUUACUUAUAAACGUUAGGUUGAAAGGAGGCCUGGAACCAGGUGCCAACUUUAGAUGAUGGAGAAGUUUAAUUACUUCUAAAUUCCUCAAAUACGGAGCUUUGCCUCUGGAUGGCCUGCCUGAUGGUCACCAGGUGGUCUUUGCUGGCCUCAGCCAGCUCACAGGUUGUGAGCUGGCCUCUCUGCCAGCAGUGCUCGCUCCUGUCUUUGCUCAGCUCCCCGUCCCUCCCCAGGGAGUCAUCCCAAUUGUCCAAUGUCCUCAGCUGCCAUCAGGCCACUUGCCCCACCUGUCACAUCAUCUGUUGACUGCCUGUCCUCCCUGGGGCAGGACCCCCUCUAUGCAGCUCUGUGUGCCCGGCAUGGCAUGUGUGAGAGCAUAGAAGGUCUGGUCACAGAGUUGGCUGACUGGUCCUGGAGGGUGGGUGGACCGCCCUCGGAAAGCCAGAGAGGUGUGUGUGCUUUGUUCCAGGACGCAAGGUGUUGUUCGCUUGUCCUCUGUCAACGUAACCUGGAGAAGCUGUUGCAACCACCAAGGGAGGGUGUUUCCUCAGGCCAAGAGCUUAUUGGGAGCUUAGGAGCUACUGACGACAGCAAGCUGCAGGGCAGUUCCCCAGACGAAGUCACCAGUGGAACCAGCCGGCCUGCUACCUGACACACAAGGUCAAGAACUGAGUCUCUUUCAAAAAUUUAACUUGUUUUGUUGUAAUUUAUAUAAAAUAAUGCAA
This 1111-nucleotide long non-coding RNA is filed under the name Rhinopithecus roxellana (golden snub-nosed monkey). Its description in RNAcentral is "lncRNA (ENSRROG00000046067.1)". Lineage: Eukaryota; Metazoa; Chordata; Mammalia; Primates; Cercopithecidae. The record is from RNAcentral.